AUUCUCAGAGGGCGGAGCCAGAGAGCAGUGAUUGGUCAGACCAUACAGAAUAUAGGAGACAGCGCGCUAGCGUCUCUAGGCUGCUAUAUGUAUCUAUGGUUAGCACGUCUGGUAGCAUCUCUGGCUGCUGUUGACCUUGUUUUUGGAGUAAAACACGGUGGAAGCUGAAUUAGUGAGGAUGACUCCUGCUCCUGUCAUCUCUAAGCUCCUCACACAUCUUUACCUGCACAUGAGGAAAAUCACUCCUGUAGAAUGCAGAUGUUCAGAGGGAGAUGAUGCCACAUCUGGUCCAGCUGAUGGAAGGUCUUGAAGUUCUCUGACUGGCCUCGACUGAAGAUGGUCGUCUCACUGGAUUUAAGGUUCAGAUGCUCAGUAACAAACUCCACCAAUGAGCCAACAGGGAAGCUUUAGGUUUAUUAAAUGUUGCUAUGAAGGUAUCGCUGUUUUUCUUUGUGAAUGCAAUGUGCUCCAACUGAAACUUGAAUUAGGACUUAGAAGUAAAUCCUUCCAUCUGAAAGGAUCUAGAUGUAUUAAUAACCUCAUAACAUUCUAAUUUUUAUUCCAGUCUUGGUUGGAAAUAGAAUCUCUGUAUUGAUUCAGGUAAAAACUGAACUUCACAGCAUGUUGGAGCAAAACAACCAGAUGAAAACUGUGAUGGUGUUGGAUUGUCAGACCGUAAAGUUGCAGCUCAAAGCAGCUUUUCUAUCUCAGUUCAUUCUGACAUUCAGCUAUGAAUCAACACAGCAGAUGGUGAUCCAUGCUGUGUUGAGCCCUUCUCUAACUACCUUUGUAUUUACUAUAUAUACCAUUAUUGCAUUACAUUCACUCUGUUUCUUUCUGUGUCCUUUCUCUGAGUGUCCCUGGUCCCAGAGCUGGAUGCUUCAGAUGUGUGGUUGUUCUCCCACCUCCAGCUGCCCAUUUCCACCAAUCUACUCUGCAUUGCCCUUACUAUACUUGACUUGCUCAUCUACAUAUUUUUGAAUUUACCACCAGCUAUAUAUGUAGUAUAUUUAAUGUCAGAGCCAUACACCAUAGCAGUAAACUAUAAUUAGUUUCCAUGUUAGUUGUACUUUGCAUGUAUCAUCUGUCUUAUCAUGCAUGUAUUAUACUGUGUGUUUUAUGGUCCUUGUGUCCCCCCCCUCCAUCUCUAUCCCUCUACCUCUAUCCUUCUAUCUCUAUCCCUCUACCUCUUCUGUUCCUCUCAACCCGCCCGGCCAGCAGCAGAUGGGUCCCCCAACAUUAGAGCCGGGUUCUGCUCGAGGUUUUUUUCCCUGUUAAAAGGGUGUUUUUCUUGCCACUGUCGCCUUUUGGCUUGCUCUGGGGGUCAGGCAUAUGGGUUCUGUAAAGCGUCUCGAGACAAUUUGACUGUAAUUGGUGCUAUAUAAAUAAAAUUGAAUUGAAUUGAAUUGGAAGUCUCACAUCUCCUGAUUUAAUGGAGCUGCUUUGCACUUUUUACACUGUUUAUUCACCAACACUUUAUUUAAUAAAAGUCCCAUCUAGUUUUUAUGAGGAAUGUGAUGUUUUAAUUUCUCUGUGAAUAACUGCAGUCUAAUGCAACAGCUGGAGUUGUAACAUCUGGCCUGGUAUUGAUCAUGAAGUAUUGAUCAGAAUACUUAUGGUUAGCAGUCAUCCCUGAAGUUUUACAUUAAAAUCUUUACUUGUGUUGUGAACUUUGGUAAGAAGCAGAAAUGUUAGCGUUGCCAUGGAUACAUGAGUGUUAAAUUCUGUCCAUGUUUCCAUUUUGGGAAAUGCAGUCCAGUUCCAGAAUGUGGAAGAAUUUAGUCUCACAAUCACAGACAACAAAUAUUAUCUGAAAGUCGGGUUAUUGUUGUUUAUCAGCAUAAUACAAAAAGAUUAAUGUUAGAAAUAUUCCAGUUAAGACUCUAGAAUAUCAUGAUUUAUGUAAAUUUACCUCAAUAAUAUGAAUGUUCAGGUUAAGAUUGUACAGUGAUAUUUAUUAUGUAAGUUUAGCUGAUUAAAGUUUAUGACCACUAAAAUGUUAUUUAAAUUGACAUCAUUAUUAUAAUAUUUAGGGUCAGACCCUACAGUAUUGAGAUUAAGAAAUCAUAUAAAAUGUAAAUACACUGAACUAAUUUGGAUGUAUUUAAGUGAGACUCCACAAUAUUAUUUGACACAAAUCUAUCUAAAUCAAAAUAUUAAUAAUUUUCACACCAAACAUUUACUGGACUGAUUUAAAUAUUAAAAUCACUCCUUUCUAAUCCUCUGCUGUACGUUCAAACCUGAGGCCUUAAAUAGAAACACACAAGUAUCUGAUUGAAGGAACUUCUGCAGAGUCCUGGUUCCAGAACAUGAUGAUAGAAUUAUAGACAAACUUUAACAAAAGCUGCCUGACAGUUUACAGCUUUUUAUGUUAGAUUUCCUCAGUAAUUUAAUGAGAGUUAUCAGCAAAAAUCAAGUGUUCAUUUGAUGAACUUCAUUCCCUAAAACAUCCAGAAUUGGAGCUCAUAUCUUUGACAGCUGUAAAGUUUCUGCUCCUUCAAAGUUCACAACACAAUGAAUGAAUUCCUAAAACACUCUCAAUGCUGGAGAGCGUUUGUGAUGCUGAAGCAGUGACCAGUUUUUCUGUUUCUUCUCUGGAGAUGCACAAUGAGGGACGUCUGCAGAGACUGAGAAAGAGUCUCACCACAUCCUGACAUGAGGAAAAAAGACUUUAUUGAAGACUACAAUGAGAAAAACUAUCAGACAGCAGACGGCUGCAUUCAAGGCUACAGGAGGAGCCCUACGAGGACGAGCCGGUCCACCUGAUGGUGGCCAGUCGCUGCGGUUCAAAGCCAACACCGACUACGUGGACUUCUACUGGACCACACGGAGGCCUUCAAACCGGACCAACAAGUUCAGCGACUCGUGGGUCUGAGGACGCCACCGAGCCUCGGUCCAGCCGGCCUCCUGUCUGUGGGUGUUUGAGUGCUGAGAGGUUUGUGGAUGCAUGUGAACGUAUCUGUGUUGAAACAGCAGCUUUGGACUCAGUAACGCCGGGAAAAACCAAGAGCUCCUUUAUUUGUGACUUCCACUAAUAAAACUGAUGAAAAUAAGUUUGCCAGGGUUCUGACUGAUGACGGAUUAUUAAAUA
Amphiprion ocellaris (clown anemonefish) is the source of this 3091-nucleotide long non-coding RNA. RefSeq lists it as uncharacterized. The transcript is spliced from 4 exons. The record is from RefSeq and is a predicted model, not a curated record. Lineage: Eukaryota; Metazoa; Chordata; Actinopteri; Pomacentridae.